AAACUGCUAAGUGCUUUACAUGUAUUAUUUUGUUUAAUGCUUAUAACAGUAACUGACAUAGUAAAGAAUAUUAAGAAAGGAGAAGGGGAAAACAAAAGUUUAAAAAUGAGAAUUGAAAUAAAAAUUGAGUAUAACAUGAUUUUGCUAGACGAGAAUUUAAAAGUUAACUUUGGUAAAGAGGUUGGGUGUAAGAUAAAUGUGCAAAAGCCCAAAUCACCCAAAAUGUGCAAAACCAAAAAUUUCUGUAUUAACAAUACUUGACUACAAAUGAAAAUGUCUGUCGGAGGAGGUCAUUGGGUGAGCGUGACCGCCAAAUGACCCAGGAACUGACCGUGGGCGGGCCGGCAGCUGGAGGCUCCUCACCCCUCCCCGGCGCUUCGCGUUUCCACGGUUGCGGACCUGAGAGAGCUAUGUGUUAGGGGGACCACCUGGACAGUAUGUGUGAAUGAAUCCUGUUAAGGCUGUUAUGUAAUCUUUUAAAAUUUCGGUGGGCUGAUGGGGAGAUCUCGUCCUCCGGCUGCCGAAGAGAAGCUUCCUAGCCAUGGAUACUUUGCUUCGUGAAUCUUAUGAUCUAUUCAACAUGUCAUAGCUUCCUAUCUCACAUGUGCCACAGAGAGAGACAGAGCAUGAACGGGGCAGGGGCAGAGAGAGAGGGAGACACAGAAUUGG
Long non-coding RNA from Felis catus (domestic cat), 669 nucleotides. RefSeq lists it as uncharacterized. The transcript is spliced from 3 exons. Lineage: Eukaryota; Metazoa; Chordata; Mammalia; Carnivora; Felidae. The record is from RefSeq and is a predicted model, not a curated record.